Molecule: ribosomal RNA, 387 nt
Filed under: uncultured bacterium
Lineage: Bacteria
Description: bacterial SSU rRNA
Rfam family: Bacterial small subunit ribosomal RNA
Source: RNAcentral
GACGAACGCUGGCGGCGUGCUUAACACAUGCAAGUCGAGCGGUAAGGCCCUUUCGGGGGUACACGAGCGGCGAACGGGUGAGUAACACGUGGGUGACCUGCCCUCAGCUCUGGGAUAAGCCUGGGGAACUGGGUCUAAUACCGGAUAUGACUCCAUGACGCAUGUUGUGGGGUGGAAAGCCUUGUGCGGCUGAGGAUGGGCCCGCGGCCUAUCAGCUUGUUGGUGGGGUGANGGCCUACCAAGGCGACGACGGGUAGCCGGCCUGAGAGGGCGACCGGCCACACUGGGACUGAGACACGGCCCAGACUCCUACGGGAGGCAGCAGUGGGGAAUCUUGCGCAAUGGGCGAAAGCCUGACGCAGCGACGCCGCGUGAGGGAUGACGGCC